GACGAACGCUGGCGGCGUGCUUAACACAUGCAAGUCGAACGGAAAGGCCCUGCUUUUGUGGGGUGCUCGAGUGGCGAACGGGUGAGUAACACGUGAGUAACCUGCCCUUGACUUUGGGAUAACUUCAGGAAACUGGGGCUAAUACCUGAUAGGAGCUCCUGCUGCAUGGUGGGGGUUGGAAAGUUUCGGCGGUUGGGGAUGGACUCGCGGCUUAUCAGCUUGUUGGUGGGGUAGUGGCUUACCAAGGCUUUGACGGGUAGCCGGACUGAGAGGGUGACCGGCCACAUAGGGACUGGGGAGCGGGCCAGAGGGCUACGGGAGGCAGGAGUGGGGAAUAUUGCACAAUGGGCGGAAGCCGGAUGCAGCAACGCCGGGUGCGGGAUGACGGCCUGCGGGUAGUAAACCGCUUUAGCCUGUGACGAAGCGUGAGUGACGGUAAUGGGUAAAGAAGCACCGGCUAACUACGU
RNAcentral lists this ribosomal RNA (467 nucleotides) under uncultured bacterium. RNAcentral describes it as "partial 16S ribosomal RNA". It matches the Rfam family "Bacterial small subunit ribosomal RNA", at positions 28 to 506 of the family's 1533-position model. The record is from RNAcentral.